This 498-nucleotide ribosomal RNA is filed under the name uncultured bacterium. RNAcentral's name for it is "partial 16S ribosomal RNA". It matches the Rfam family "Bacterial small subunit ribosomal RNA", at positions 334 to 851 of the family's 1533-position model. The record is from RNAcentral.
CGCCCUUACGGGAGGCAGCAGCAAGGAAUUUUCGGCAAUGGGCGCAAGCUGACCGAGCAACGCCGCGUGCGGGAUGACGGCCUUCGGGUUGUAAACCGCUUUUCGGGGGGACGACCCUGACGGUACCCCCGGAAUCAGCCCCGGCUAACUCUGUGCCAGCAGCCGCGGUAAGACAGAGGGGGCGAGCGUUGUCCGGAGUCACUGGGCGUAAAGCGCGCGCAGGCGGCAACCUAAGUGUCGUGUGAAAGCCCCCCGGCCCAACCGGGGGAGGCCAUGGCAAACUGGGUCGCUCGAGCUGCGGAGAGGCCCCUCGAAUUGCCGGUGUAGCGGUGAAAUGCGUAGAGAUCGGCAGGAAGACCAAGGGGGAAGCCAGGGGGCUGGCCGCAGCUGACGCUGAGGCGGGACAGGUGGGGGAGCAAACCGGAUUAGAUACCCGGGUAGUCCACGCCGUAAACGAUGACCACUCGGCGUGUGGCGACUAUUGACGUCGCGGCGGUG